This 497-nucleotide ribosomal RNA is filed under the name uncultured bacterium. RNAcentral describes it as "partial 16S ribosomal RNA". It matches the Rfam family "Bacterial small subunit ribosomal RNA", at positions 28 to 507 of the family's 1533-position model. The record is from RNAcentral.
GACGAACGCUGGCGGCGUGCCUAAUACAUGCAAGUUGAGCGAUGAAGAUUGGUGCUUGCACCAAUUUGAAGAGCAGCGAACGGGUGAGUAACGCGUGGGGAAUCUGCCUUUGAGCGGGGGACAACAUUUGGAAACGAAUGCUAAUACCGUAUAACAACUUUAAACAUAAGUUUUAAGUUUGAAAGAUGCAAUUGCAUCACUCAAAGAUGAUCCCGCGUUGUAUUAGCUAGUUGGUGAGGUAAAGGCUCACCAAGGCGAUGAUACAUAGCCGACCUGAGAGGGUGAUCGGCCACAUUGGGACUGAGACACGGCCCAAACUCCUACGGGAGGCAGCAGUAGGGAAUCUUCGGCAAUGGACGAAAGUCUGACCGAGCAACGCCGCGUGAGUGAAGAAGGUUUUCGGAUCGUAAAACUCUGUUGGUAGAGAAGAACGUUGGUGAGAGUGGAAAGCUCAUCAAGUGACGGUAACUACCCAGAAAGGGACGGCUAACUACGUG